UUGACCUCGGAUCAGGUAGGGAUACCCGCUGAACUUAAGCAUAUCAAUAAGCGGAGGAAAAGAAACCAACCGGGAUUGCCCUAGUAACGGCGAGUGAAGCGGCAAGAGCUCAAAUUUGAAAGCUGGCUCCUUCGGGGUCCGCAUUGUAAUUUGCAGAGGAUGCUUCGGGAGCGGUCCCCAUCUAAGUGCCCUGGAACGGGCCGUCAUAGAGGGUGAGAAUCCCGUAUGGGAUGGGGUGCCCGCGCCCGUGUGAAGCUCCUUCGACGAGUCGAGUUGUUUGGGAAUGCAGCUCUAAUUGGGUGGUAAAUUUCAUCUAAAGCUAAAUAUUGGCCGGAGACCGAUAGCGCACAAGUAGAGUGAUCGAAAGAUGAAAAGCACUUUGAAAAGAGAGUUAAACAGCACGUGAAAUUGUUGAAAGGGAAGCGCUUGCGAUCAGACUCGCUCGCGGGGUUCAGCCGGCCUUCGGGCCGGUGUACUUCCCCGCGGGCGGGCCAGCGUCGGUUUGGGCGGCCGGUCAAAGGCCCCUGGAAUGUAACGCCUCUCGGGGCGUCUUAUAGCCAGGGGUGCCAUGCGGCCUGCCCGGACCGAGGAACGCGCUUCGGCUCGGACGCUGGCAUAAUGGU
Molecule: ribosomal RNA, 623 nt
Filed under: Penicillium sp. DET 2002b
Lineage: Eukaryota; Fungi; Ascomycota; Eurotiomycetes; Eurotiales; Aspergillaceae
Description: eukaryotic LSU rRNA
Rfam family: Eukaryotic large subunit ribosomal RNA
Source: RNAcentral